This is a long non-coding RNA of Onychostoma macrolepis, 738 nucleotides long. RefSeq lists it as uncharacterized. The record is from RefSeq and is a predicted model, not a curated record. NCBI's taxonomy places the organism in Eukaryota, Metazoa, Chordata, Actinopteri, Cypriniformes, Cyprinidae. The transcript has 5 exons.
AGGUUAACUUUGGCAACUACCAAGCUAUUGUGUCCUUUGUUAACAUUAAUAAUAUACACUGGAAGUUUCUGUACAUCAGUGCAGCAGAUGAAAAGAUGCACCGUGUGUAUUUGGUGGAUCCUUCAAGCAACGCUGCAGAGGAGGCAGAUUCAGAAGCUGCUGCUCAAAAAUUCCGGUUCUUAUGCAGUUUAGUUCAUUCAAUCUAAUCAUGUACACUGCAUCUAUGUAAUUGUAUAAAUUGUAGUAUUUUUGCACAUAUAUAAACAAUAAUUAUAUUUUAACAUUUCAUUGUCACACAGUGAAUACUUUCAGAUAAGGACUGUCCACCACCGUGAGAGAGAGUGGGCAGAUAUUGAAUUCACAGGAGCUGUUAUGCAACACCCAGUUCAGCAUGAUACAUAUAGCUGUGGUGUGAUGGUCAUGAUGAUGGCAAAGGCCUAACAUGGAAUUUGGGACUACUGAAGACGAAAUGGCAGAGGAACGCACAGCUAUGGCACUUGAACUACUUGAGGCUUCAGUGUUUGAUGCAGAGAACAAUUGUUCCAUGUGUGCAAAAGAGGAAAGUCCAGGGUCUGCCCUUACUGACUGGAUUCGGUGCGACAGCUGUAACAGGUGGUUUCAUGUACCGUGUGUGGACAUGGACAAAAAACAGUUUGAACAUGCCAGAAAAGCUGCCUGGGAUUGCUGUUUGUGCAAAGCUUGAUCCAGAACUUAUUGUGUAUUUUCAUUUAUCAGAUU